CUUUAUCCUGAAUUCUGCUUGCUAUCAUCGUGAAUCCCAUAUCUCUUCAAAGCAGAUUCCGGUGAGUCUAAUUACUUUACCAUUUUCGCAAAAAUCCCCCUGCAUAAGAUUUGUUCUGUGAACGAUUUACGGAUUUAUGUUUUUAAGAAUCUCACAUAGCUAGCCUAGCAGCCAUGGAAACAGCGUUGCUUAACUCAUUCUUAAGCUUCCAGAGGCCCCUUCUUUCCAUACCAACAGGAAAAUCUUCAAGGGGGAUUCGAGCAGCUAGACUACCUUUGAGGGAUUCUCAAAGAUCACAUAUACUUCUUGCAUUGUAAUUGUGUAUUUUUUUUUCAUUAUUGUGAUUGUUCUAAAAUGCAAUUAUGACUAAUGUAGAGAACGAACAAAUAAGCACAAGAAUGAAGUUGUGAAGUUUUGAAAAAGAAGAUGAACAGCAGAAAACUAGAAUGGAGAUGAUGACGGUUGAGGAUAAAUUUGAAUAUACAGGCUUGAUUUCAGGAGCUUUGCCAGGUUUUGACAUGGAAGAUUCCUCACCAUUCCCAUUCCCAACUUCUGGCAUCUCAACUGCCAUAUGAUGAGUUGAUGAUUCUCUGGUGCCUGCAACUUGGCUAGGGCCAUAUGCAGCUCUUCUUCUUGCCUUCUUAGCCCACCCAGCAAGGCUCUCUUGUAUAUGCUCUUGGAAUAUAGCUUUCUUGAAUGAACUUCCCAUCUUCAAUCAAUCACAAACCAAAUCUAGUGUCAGUCACUCACUCGGUGAGUCAAGAUGUCUAAAACAGACAAAGCUCUAGUUAGAGCAACCUCAUCAAUAGAUUUUUAGGGGUUUUUCCGUAACAAGAAAUUUGGGAAGACUGGAAGUUAAAUUGUUUUGUGGGUCCGAAUAAUUGAGAAAAUCGCCUGCAGGUGUGCCCCUAUGCACACGCCAGCUAGGCGCAUAAAUAACAAUUAUUUAUUUUA
Ipomoea triloba (trilobed morning glory) is the source of this 954-nucleotide long non-coding RNA. RefSeq lists it as uncharacterized. The record is from RefSeq and is a predicted model, not a curated record. NCBI's taxonomy places the organism in Eukaryota, Viridiplantae, Streptophyta, Magnoliopsida, Solanales, Convolvulaceae. The transcript has 3 exons.